CUUGUGUGUGCAGGAUCAGCGCGAGAUAAGUUUUCAUUCUAUGCACUAAGAAGCAUCAUAGAAGCAACGCUGUAGCCACAAAGCCAGAAGCCCAAAAUAAUCCAACUAAAGGGGGAAAAAAAUAAAAAUAAGACCAACGUUUGAGUGCAAGAGAAAAAAAACGAACUGUGCAAACAAUUGAAGCAAACAACAGGAUUCUGAAUCAAAAUUGAGCCCUCAGAUCCGAAGCCUGGAGCAGCCCAAAGCCUUGCUUAUUAGUUCAUCGUACUGGGGGGUAUGGAGUACAGCAGCUGGAGAAGUAUACACAGCUUCAGCACCAUGGAGAUGACCAUCGCAGAGAAAGACUGAAAUCGGCUGUUAUUCUGACUAACUCACUGUCCUUUCAAUCUACCCUGGCCAGCGUUUAAAUUGACCCAGUGAGGAACAGCAAAAGCCUCCAGAGCCUUGGAGAGAAGAGAAUGAGUGAAAACAGCUCUCUCCUCCAAUCUGGGCUGGCGUUUAAAUUGUCUGAACAGCAUACCACGCCUCUCACUAGGACCCAGACACCACUGCUGCAAAAAGGCAACAUGCCUGGACCACUCUGCCCAGUGACUUGCUCCAAGCCUAGAUUUCAGUGUCCAGCCUGAAGCUGCUCUCAGGCUCUUCAGAUCAGCUUGGAGACCAGAGCAUUCUAACCUCUCAGCUGGGCCAGUUCAACAAGCAUCAGAACUUCUCCUUUCAGCAUUCAGAGUGAUCCAACCUCACUCCAGGGCCAUCUGUAUGGGCAUCAGAACUCCAAUGAAGGGAAAAUCCUUAUCCAUGAAGGUUCGGAGAUGACUGGAACGAUUUUUUCCCUUUUUCUCUUUUUUCGAAUUUUAUCCUCAAAUGGACUGCCAAUCAUUCUUUUCCUUUUUUUUGUUUUAGUUUAGUUAGUGGGG
Hypanus sabinus (Atlantic stingray) is the source of this 917-nucleotide long non-coding RNA. RefSeq lists it as uncharacterized. The transcript is spliced from 3 exons. Lineage: Eukaryota; Metazoa; Chordata; Chondrichthyes; Myliobatiformes; Dasyatidae. The record is from RefSeq and is a predicted model, not a curated record.